GAAAAGAAACCAACAGGGAUUGCCCUAGUAACGGCGAGUGAAGCGGCAACAGCUCAAAUUUGAAAUCUGGCCUCGGCCCGAGUUGUAAUUUGCAGAGGAUGCUUCUGGCGCGGUUCCUUCCGAGUUCCCUGGAACGGGACGCCACAGAGGGUGAGAGCCCCGUAUGGUCGGACACCAAGCCUGUGUGAAGCUCCUUCGACGAGUCGAGUAGUUUGGGAAUGCUGCUCUAAAUGGGAGGUAAAUCUCUUCUAAAGCUAAAUACCGGCCAGAGACCGAUAGCGCACAAGUAGAGUGAUCGAAAGAUGAAAAGCACCUUGAAAAGGGGGUUAAAUAGUACGUGAAAUUGUUGAAAGGGAAGCACUUAUGACCAGACUUGGGCCGGGCGGCUCAUCAGGGGUUCUCCCCUGUGCACUCCGCCCGGCACAGGCCAGCAUCGGUUUUCGCGGGGGGAUAAGACCGGCGGGAACGUAGCACCCUCCGGGGUGUGUUAUAGCCCGCCGGACGAUACCCUCGCGGGGACCGAGGUCCGCGCUCCGCAAGGAUGCUGGCGUAAUGGUCAUCAGUGACCCGUCUUGAAACACGGACCAAGGAGUCGUCCAUUAGAGCGAGCGUUUGGGUGUAAAACCCGCACGCGUAAUGAAAGUGAACGCAGGUGAGAGCUUCGGCGCAUCAUCGACCGAUCCUGAUGUCCUCGGAAGGAUUUGAGUAAGAGUUUUAACGGACGGACCCGAAAGACAGUGAACUAUGCUUGUAUAGGGUGAAGCCAGAGGAAACUCUGGUGGAGGCUCGCAGCGGUUCUGACGUGCAAAUCGAUCGUCAAAUAUGAGCAUGGGGGCGAAAGACUAAUCGAACUGUCUAGUAGCUGGUUACCGCCGAAGUUUCCCUCAGGAUAGCAGUGUUGAUCUUCAGUUUUAUGAGGUAAAGCGAAUGAUUAGGGACUCGGGGGCUAUAUAUUGCCUUCAUCCAUUCUCAAACUUUAAAUAUGUAAGAAGCCCUUGUUACUUAGUUGAACGUGGGCAUUCGAAUGUACCAACACUAGUGGGCCAUUUUUGGUAAGCAGAACUGGCGAUGCGGGAUGAACCGAACGCGGGGUUAAGGCGCCAGAGUGUACGCUCAUCAGACACCACAAAAGGCGUUAGUACAUCUUGACAGCAGGACGGUGGCCAUGGAAGUCGGAAUCCGCUAAGGACUGUGUAACAACUCACCUGCCGAAUGUACUAGCCCUGAAAAUGGAUGGCGCUCAAGCGUACCGCCCAUACCCCGCCCCCAGGGUAGAAACGAUGCCCUGGGGAGUAGGCGGCCGUGGGGGUCAGUGACGAAGCCUAGGGCGUGAGCCCGGGUCGAACGGCCCUAGUGCAGAUCUG
RNAcentral lists this ribosomal RNA (1364 nucleotides) under Diaporthe angelicae. RNAcentral describes it as "eukaryotic LSU rRNA". It matches the Rfam family "Eukaryotic large subunit ribosomal RNA", at positions 56 to 1452 of the family's 3401-position model. The record is from RNAcentral. Lineage: Eukaryota; Fungi; Ascomycota; Sordariomycetes; Diaporthales; Diaporthaceae.